This 479-nucleotide ribosomal RNA is filed under the name uncultured bacterium. RNAcentral describes it as "bacterial SSU rRNA". It matches the Rfam family "Bacterial small subunit ribosomal RNA", at positions 15 to 518 of the family's 1533-position model. The record is from RNAcentral.
GAUCAUGGCUCAGAACGAACGCUGGCGGCAGGCCUAACACAUGCAAGUUGAACGGGAAUAAUUGAUAGCUUGCUAUUGAUUAUGAGAGUAGCGCACUGGUGAGUAACACGUGGGAACAUACCUUUUUAGUGGGGGGACAACAGAGGGAAACUUCUGCUAAUACCGCAUAAACCCUGAGGGGGAAAGGAGCAAUUCGCUAAAAGAUUGGCCCGCGGAAGAUUAGGUAGUUGGUGAGGUAAAGGCCCACCAAGCCUACGAUCUAUAGCUGGUCUGAGAGGACGAACAGCCACAUUGGAACUGAGACACGGUCCAGACUCCUACGGGAGGCAGCAGUGAGGAAUAUUGGGCAAUGGAGGAAACUCUGACCCAGCCCAUGCCGCGUGAGUGAGAAGGUCUUCGGAUUGUAAAGCUCUUUUAUACAGGAAGAUGAUGACAGUACUGUAAGAAAAAGCACCGGCAAACUUCGUGCCAGCCGCGGC